Molecule: long non-coding RNA, 349 nt
Organism: Trematomus bernacchii (emerald rockcod)
Lineage: Eukaryota; Metazoa; Chordata; Actinopteri; Perciformes; Nototheniidae
Exons: 3
Source: RefSeq, a predicted model, not a curated record
UUCUAUCUCACUGAACAUAGUCCCUGUAUGUGAACUGGUUCAGCUGAUAAGGCUGGUUAUGAAUCAAGAGGAGAAGCUGCAGACAGGAAGGGAGGUUGAGAGUGAAAAGAAGAAGUCAGACUUGUCAGAGUGUCAGACGCCAUUUUACACCUCCACGGAGCAGGAGGACAACAGGACUGGAGAAGAUGAGUGGUUUUAAAGAUGAGGAAGAGGACACAUCUUCAGUCUCCAGCUGUCUGUCUCUGAAGAGUGACCAGUCUAAAGAGUGGAAUCCUCCAGACUUCAGUAAUGAACCUGGACCCUCAGACACAAAACAGAGAGCAGAGUCUCCAGUCCCCAGCUGUCUGUC